This 497-nucleotide ribosomal RNA is filed under the name uncultured bacterium. Its description in RNAcentral is "partial 16S ribosomal RNA". It matches the Rfam family "Bacterial small subunit ribosomal RNA", at positions 28 to 507 of the family's 1533-position model. The record is from RNAcentral.
GAUGAACGCUGGCGGCGUGCCUAAUACAUGCAAGUCGAGCGAACGGACGAGAAGCUUGCUUCUCUGAUGUUAGCGGCGGACGGGUGAGUAACACGUGGAUAACCUACCUAUAAGACUGGGAUAACUUCGGGAAACCGGAGCUAAUACCGGAUAAUAUUUUGAACCGCAUGGUUCAAAAGUGAAAGACGGUCUUGCUGUCACUUAUAGAUGGAUCCGCGCUGCAUUAGCUAGUUGGUAAGGUAACGGCUUACCAAGGCAACGAUGCAUAGCCGACCUGAGAGGGUGAUCGGCCACACUGGAACUGAGACACGGUCCAGACUCCUACGGGAGGCAGCAGGAGGGAAUCUUCCGCAAUGGGCGAAAGCCUGACGGAGCAACGCCGCGUGAGUGAUGAAGGUCUUCGGAUCGUAAAACUCUGUUAUUAGGGAAGAACAUAUGUGUAAGUAACUGUGCACAUCUUGACGGUACCUAAUCAGAAAGCCACGGCUAACUACGUG